UACGUAGGGGGCGAGCGUUGUCCGGAAUUAUUGGGCGUAAAGAGCGUGUAGGCGGUUCGGUAAGUCUGCCGUGAAAACCUGGGGCUCAACCCCAGGCGUGCGGUGGAUACUGCCGGGCUAGAGGGUGGUAGAGGCGAGUGGAAUUCCGUGGUGAGCGGUGAAAUGCGCAGAUAUCGGGAGGAACACCAGUAGCGAAGGCGGCUCGCUGGGCCAUACCUGACGCUGAGGAGCGAAAGCGUGGGGAGCAACAG
This 251-nucleotide ribosomal RNA is filed under the name uncultured bacterium. Its description in RNAcentral is "partial 16S ribosomal RNA". It matches the Rfam family "Bacterial small subunit ribosomal RNA", at positions 524 to 774 of the family's 1533-position model. The record is from RNAcentral.